Molecule: long non-coding RNA, 2221 nt
Filed under: Aedes aegypti (yellow fever mosquito)
Lineage: Eukaryota; Metazoa; Arthropoda; Insecta; Diptera; Culicidae
Description: lncRNA AAEL028115
Source: RNAcentral
CUAACUAACAUUUUUACUCAAAUUGAGUUAUCACUAUUUUCCAAAUCCUCAGCAUAAAAUAUAACGAUUUUCAUUUAAAAGUUAACUUUUUUUUAUUUAUUAACCUUAAAAUUCGAAAAGAACAAAACGACCCAACUGCAUUAUCGAUAAUAUCGACCAGCUCUGUUGAUGGGACUUUUUGCUCGCCGAAGGUCUCAUCUGUCAUUUUCGAUUUUUGUUUUCAAAAUUGCACAUGGGACCUUUGGCAUGCAAGCGAGCUCUCACAGUAAUUUUGAAACUAUUUUGAGUUAAAUUAAUAAAAAUGGAUCCUACACAAGACCAAUUCCGGAUGUUCAUACAAGCAGCAUCACGUCGAAGCCAAAGAUCCGAUGGCAGCAGUCACUAUGGUAGUCAACCUACACCUCCGCAGAUAGAUGAUUCGUGCGAUGAAAAAUUCAAGCUACGGGAGAGUUGCAAAUGCCGAACCUGCACCUUCAAAGAAGGAUAAUUCAGUUUUUAAGCUCUCUAAGAGGAAAAGCGCUGAGUCACCACGGAGCUGAAAGAAGCGCACUGGAACUUUUCAAAAUGGUACGGAGACUCUACCGAAGCAGCAUGCUUGAAAUUAACUGCAGGACAGGUCAACAAUCCUUGCAAAAACAGCAGCAUUCAUCGUGUUCCGUUUCAUGAGAUGAAAAUGUCAAGCUACGGGAAUGUUGCAAAUGCCCGUACAACGGAUUGGAUUUUGCAACAGAAUCACGCAAAGUACGACAGAUGUAGGUUAACAGAUUUAUCCAACACUCGAGUCAAAAGCAGCAAUCUCUCCUCUACAGUAGCCACGCCACCCAUAUAUCGAUCUUUGAAGUCUCACUCUGUAUCCAUCAAAGGACAUGAUAAAUCACUGAGAAAACUGAUCAGUGAUUCAACGGGUACAGAAGAAAUGAUCGAUCUUGAUUCGAUUCCCAGUUACUGUAAAGAAAAUGUCGUUAAAGCAAGUCAUCAGCAGUAUCGAAAAAGCGUUAUUGAAGAAAGAGAGCAGAUCAGCCCAAGCCUGGCUUCUACAAAAUGCAAAGAACAAAUUAUAAUUUCAUUGGAUCAUCCAUACAUUAAGGUGUUCGAACUCUUAGUGCCACCCUCCAUCAUGUUCAAAGAUGCGAGUACAAGUCUAAUGUCUUCUGCGAGGUCUGUUGAUUGCAAUCUUCUUUAAAGUAUGCAAAAAAAACUAUUCGAGAAUUUCGACUACCACCAGUCUUCAACAGUAUCGUACACUCAUGUGCACUGGAUAAGUUCUCCUUUUCAGCAAUAUCAUAGACUGUACACUGCAUGCCUUUGAUACAAAAGAAAAAAGAAAAUCUACCAAAAAAUAAUUUUUUUUUUGAAUACCUCACUAUUGCCCAAUAAUUUAAAUAAUAUUUUACUCUAGUUGACGUAAAUUUGAUUUGAAUCCAUUAUUCUUUACAAACUUAAUCAACAUUUACCAGUUUUUAUUGAGUUUUACAAAUAUCCCAAGUAACAAAGGUAUUUUCAUAAAGACCCAUUUGAUAGGUCCCAACUGACAAUAAAAGUGCAAAAGGUCUCAUGUGAUAAAAAUAUCCAAAAAUAACGUAAACAUGUAGUUUUCCGCAGAAUGAACAUCAUUUUUUAAUUUUUGAGCUUUUUUCACGUUUAGAAAUGAAGUUCAAUGUCUUAUUUUAUGUUUCUAUUCUGAUUGGCAUUUGAUUUUCAUCACGAUUUUUUCGAAGCUUAUUUUCUCCGAUAAAGGCAAAAGUCUGAUGGGACCUUUUGAAAUGUUCGUCUCGAUUUACAAUAAAAUCAGGAGUGCAUAUAAAUUAGAUCUGAAAGCGUCAAUAAUCAUUAAAAAUAAUCGUCUUUCGAAGAAAAAUAUAAAAAUAGGGGGUAAGGUCUGACGGAAAUGGUCUGUUUGGCAAUCACGAACCGCGGAUCCAUUUUCACCGACGAAACAGUUCACUUUUCGACCCGAUCGAGUUUGUUUACUUUCACACUCAACGAUCGUACACCGAGCCGGUCGCGAAUAUGCUCUUCUUAUUCUUCACCUCUUCCUCACUCUCGGAGGGGCCCACGAGGCGGAUCACCAAACAAAAUGGCUCUUCGACGCCAAAUGUUUUCCAACACUUUUUCACUCCGAUCCGGCUGGGCACAUCACCUGACGGAUAGUCACGGCUACGCAGCGGAAAAGUCAGCGAAUGGAUUCGGGAGAAAAAGUAAAUUAAGGCACUCGCGAUUA